This 80-nucleotide transfer RNA is filed under the name Perkinsus marinus ATCC 50983. It matches the Rfam family "tRNA". From Rfam's summary of the family: Transfer RNA (tRNA) molecules are approximately 80 nucleotides in length. Their secondary structure includes four short double-helical elements and three loops (D, anti-codon, and T loops). Lineage: Eukaryota; Perkinsozoa; Perkinsida; Perkinsidae. The record is from Rfam by way of RNAcentral.
GACAGUUUGGCCGAGUGGUCUAAGGCGCUGGCUUCAGGCGUCAGUCCGCAAGGGCGUGGGUUUGAUUCUCACAGCUGUUA